UACGGGGAGAGCUAGUAUUAUUCGGAUUUACUGGGCGUAAAGCGCAUGUAGGCUGUUCAUUAAGUUGAAGGUGAAAGCCCAAAGCUUAACUUUGGAAUAAUCUUCAAAACUGAUAAACUUGAGUGUAAUAGAGGAUAGUGGAAUUUCUAGUGUAGAAAUAAAAUUCAUAAAUAUUAGAAGGAACACCAAAGGCGAAGGCAACUAUCUGGGUUACUACUGACGUUAAAGUGCGAAAGCGUGGGGAGCAAACAGG
This 253-nucleotide ribosomal RNA is filed under the name uncultured bacterium. Its description in RNAcentral is "partial 16S ribosomal RNA". It matches the Rfam family "Bacterial small subunit ribosomal RNA", at positions 524 to 776 of the family's 1533-position model. The record is from RNAcentral.